GGACCCGUAGCUCAGCGGUAGAGCAUCUGAUUCCAGCCGAUUGAUUUUCCCACAAAAUUCAGCCAGCUAGCAUCCAGAAGGUCAUCCGUUCAAAUCGGGUCGGGUUCA
Non-coding RNA from Xylariaceae sp. FL0594, 108 nucleotides. The record is from the annotation of a GenBank genome assembly. Lineage: Eukaryota; Fungi; Ascomycota; Sordariomycetes; Xylariales; Xylariaceae.